RNAcentral lists this ribosomal RNA (489 nucleotides) under uncultured Corynebacterium sp. Its description in RNAcentral is "bacterial SSU rRNA". It matches the Rfam family "Bacterial small subunit ribosomal RNA", at positions 1 to 507 of the family's 1533-position model. Lineage: Bacteria; Bacillati; Actinomycetota; Actinomycetes; Mycobacteriales; Corynebacteriaceae. The record is from RNAcentral.
AGAGGUUUCGUAGUCCUGGCUCAGGACGACGCUGCGGCGUGCUUAACACAUGCAAGUCGAACGGUAAGGCUCCAGCUUGCUGGGGUACACGAGUGGCGAACGGGUGAGUAACACGUGGGUGACCUGCCCUGCACUUCGGGAUAAGCCUGGGAAACUGGGUCUAAUACCGGAUAGGACCAUGGUGUGGAUGCUGUGGUGGAAAGUUUUUUCGGUGUGGGAUGGGCCCGCGGCCUAUCAGCUUAUUGGUGGGGUAAUGGCCUACCAAGGCGGCGACGGGUAGCCGGCCUGAGAGGGUGGACGGCCACAUUGGGACUGAGACACGGCCCAGACUCCUACGGGAGGCAGCAGUGGGGAAUAUUGCACAAUGGGCGGAAGCCUGAUGCAGCGACGCCGCGUGGGGGAUGACGGCCUUCGGGUUGUAAACUCCUUUCGCCAUCGACGAAGGGUUUCUGACGGUAGAUGGGGGAAGAAGCACCGGCUAACUACGUG